Gallus gallus (chicken) is the source of this 3542-nucleotide long non-coding RNA. RefSeq lists it as uncharacterized. The record is from RefSeq and is a predicted model, not a curated record. The transcript is spliced from 3 exons. NCBI's taxonomy places the organism in Eukaryota, Metazoa, Chordata, Aves, Galliformes, Phasianidae.
UUCCUUCACAUGGCAGAUGUGAGCACAUACCCACCGCGUGUCACAGACAGCGCUGUUCUCUAUGUUACCGCGCCCUUGGGUUUCAGUGCUUCCCUGAAGUCACCCUGGGGAACCCCCAAAACACGGAGUGGGGGCUCUCCUUGAAGUGGAAACAAAGUCCUUCUGGAGCUGUAAGACACCAGGGGCACAAAGAUUAAUGACAGCCUGGUGAGGUUUCAGCACAAAUACCUUUGCACAUUGGAAGCUCUGCAAAGACACAGUGAUUCAUGCCUCUGGAAGGGAAAAGAAAGCUGAGGCAGGACAUGCAAGCUGUGAGAGGAUCCGAUAUCAAAAGAGCUGGAGCCUCUCGUGAGCACCCAGCCGUACCAACACAAAUACAUCCCUGCACGACUCACGGCGGAGCCACAGCUGAACGCAGGCCGUCGCUUUAGUGAGCGCUAAGCUGAUUUGGCUGCGCAGCUCAUUCAUCGAGGAGCAAAGAAGACAGGGCAGGAAGCAUCACUCAGUAAUGAAUUACACACGACACAAAAAAGCCACAGGUGUGGUUUUAGAGUCUGUGCAUGCAGCCGCCGCAGCCCUGGAUUCCACGUAAUUGCUAGCACAGUAUCCUCACCCUGGUGGCAUUUCUGCAGCUCCCAUUCCUGUGACGUGGGAAGUCUCUCCAUAUGCUGACUUCAGGACAUCAAGUUAUCCUCAAGAGCCCUCAAAAUAAAUGCAUCCUCAUCCCCACGCUGUGACCUAUCCGUUCACUGGGGCAGUACAUCAAGUCCCCUGAAAAACUACACGUGCAGCUGGUCAGACACACAGAAUCAUAGAAUGGCUUGGGUUGGAAGGGAACUUAAAGAUUAUUUAGUUCCAACCCCUGCUGUGGGCACACAGGGCACAGACAUCUCAAGAUCAACAUUUUCUGCUUCCUCAGUGUCAUUCGGCAUGGGUUUUUUUGCCCCUUGGUGAAGAUGAGCUUUGUUCUUUGGGAUCAGCCUAUUUCCUCUCCUCAAUAGAGAGCCAUCGGCUGAGUGGGGACCCCGUGGCUCCUGGGCAGGUACCCAGUGAGCUCCACCCGGCCACCAGGGGUGAUCUCAGCAGUAUUCUGGCCUCAAAACCACGCAGAACAACUAGUCCUUUCCAGUGUGAUGUCCCUGCCAACAACAAUCAUCUGGUGUUUUGGAGAAAUCACCAAAAGAGGGUUGUUUUUUUUUUUUUGUCUGGCUUUAAAUAGUAUUAAAUAUUUGCAGCCCUUUUCAGUAACAAAGGACACAAAGAAAAGAGGGGAAAAGAAGUCUCACUUCUUUGGUUGUUUUUGCUGAAUUUGGAAAGGCUCGUGGAUCAAAGCUCAAAAAGCUGCAAGUUUAUGGAAGACACAUUAGCAAUGCUUAGUGAGGAAAAAUUACUGAACUGUGUAAGGAAGACAACCAACCAAAUCCAGUGGAUUUAGUCAAUGGACAAACUCAGGGAGAACAAUUCACCACGAGGAAGUGUGCUGAGAGCCUUCAGACAGCUCAAUGGGAGCCACUCCAAACUCAAACCCAAGGCAGGUCACAGCGUGCAAAAGCACCAACAGGAGGAGAUAUAUUUUAAUCCAUUAGAUUGUAUUUUGCAAGAAGCAGAGCCUCUGGGGAAGCCAUUAUCCUCACACAGAUGUACUCCUGUGAAAAAGAAGAAAAAUACCUAGGCUCCCUGAUGCGAGAGGUCAAACAAUUACAAUUUCCUUAAUUUCAUAUCCAGUUGGGAAAUUAAAUAACAGAACUAUGAAAAGCUUUACACUUCCCCUUCUGAAGAAAGUGGCAAUUUAAAUUAAUUUUUUUAAUGCUAUAAGAAUUGAUGAGUGAGUAUAGGAGGGGCCUUUUCCCCAGCGCCCUUUUCCCCACCACCCUUUUUAAACAGCCCUGCUCAUUCAAUGGACAAAAAGAAAUAAAUAAAUCCAAGGGACACGGAGUCUCUCAUGAAAGAGCGAUUCCUCUGCAGACAAAGCACAACGUGUUGCUUCUCCAGGAGCCGUUUUAUUUCAUUAAUAGUCCUCCCUUCACAACUCAAUGAGCUUUGUCCACAAUUUUUUUUUUCCCCCCUCAGAGGUGGACUUUUAGUCUAUGGAAAGAAGCAGCAUUCAUUCCUGAUCCUACAGCUUACAAGGAUGACUUGGGGAACAUGGGACCCGUGGUCCAUCUGGCCUCAAGCUACGUCUCUCUCCCACAGCAGCUCCUCCUAAUCUCAGUGGAAAGACUCUGCCUUCUCCACAGCUCCAUGAGUUGAACCAUGGUCAUGCUCUUCUGGUUACUACAUCAGAAAAAGUUCCAAGGGUUCUUGUAGAGAACUUGCUCAAGGUCCUCCCUUUGCAUAGGGCUCCUUCCAGCUCUGGAGCAAAGUAAGCUCCUGCAACACAGUACUGACAUGGAAAAAAGAGAUGUGGAAGAUGUACCAAGAUGCCUACAUGGUUUCUGAACAGGCCGCAGUCACGGCAUUCCUGCACGGCACUUUCAUCAGAAAGAGCCUGCAAUGUGGAAGCGUAUGGCCCUCUCUCAGUGCUACCCUGUACACGAUAUGCACAAAACCUGGUGGCAGCAGCCAGGCAGUGAAAGCUGCUGCCAGGAAGAACAUGUGAUUAACAGAGAAACAAUCUAAGGCUUGAAGCAGAGCAAACAGGGCUCAGAAUACUGGACUGCAGGACAAAACAAAAACAGGAAAAAAACAUUAGCACUUGCACACAGACCAGGCAAACAAAAAUAAUCUGCUCAUACAGCUGGCCAUGGGGGAUAAAGAUGAGAAAAUGAAUUGAAAAUCUUUUUCUACUGUUUCACUGGGAAAAAAUAAAUAAACAGGAGAUUCCCAUUUAUUUAUUUAUUUAUGCUGGAAUUAACCUAUGGAACACUUACUAACAGGGCUCCGCAGAUACUGUUAUGCAGAGCCUUGAGAAAUUACUGUUUAAAGCAUCACACCCCAGAACCAGCAAGGCAACAGAACUGCAAACUUUCAUCACAGAGCUGCAAACUCUGGCACCCACGUGUGACUUAGCAGACAUUAAAGAUUUUCUAAUUAAAGACGAGGCCAUUUGCAAGACAGAUGAUUUCAGUUUACUGGCAAGCCUGUUGGGAGACGACUGAACCACAGCUAAAGGCAUGCAGGGAGCAGCUCACAAGCAGCUUGGACCGGGGCCGGUCAGCUCAUGUCCCUGGGCACCAGCACAAAUGGCAGGGAGGGAACAACCAGCUGCAGGCAGUGAAGACCAAAAGCAGUUUGUGUCCUGAUGCUGCAGGAAGCUUUAGGAAAAAAAAGCAGCCGUAAAUACAGUUGUGAAGACAUAGAAACUUCCAGUCUGAAGAGAGAAAGCAGGCUGACAUUUGCAGACGGCAGAGCUCUUGGUGCACAUCUGCUGGGAGCAGCCCCAGAGGACCAGCUCUCCUGGAGCCACUCACCACGCGCUGUGGUUCCAGCUGCAGCGUAAUCCCAGUGACUGAUAAGCAGCAGUAUCACGCUACAGAAACAAGACUAAGGGUGGAUAAAACCACUGCAAGGCCAACUGAUUUAAAUAAAUAAAGCCCCAGAGA